GUGGGUAUAGCUCAGUGGUAGAGAACGCACUUAGCACGCAUGAGGUCCUGGGUUCAAUCCCCAGUACCUCCA
Molecule: transfer RNA, 72 nt
Filed under: Camelus bactrianus (Bactrian camel)
Lineage: Eukaryota; Metazoa; Chordata; Mammalia; Artiodactyla; Camelidae
Also listed under: 2 other names
Rfam family: tRNA
About the family: Transfer RNA (tRNA) molecules are approximately 80 nucleotides in length. Their secondary structure includes four short double-helical elements and three loops (D, anti-codon, and T loops).
Source: Rfam by way of RNAcentral